Molecule: long non-coding RNA, 4803 nt
Filed under: Homo sapiens (human)
Lineage: Eukaryota; Metazoa; Chordata; Mammalia; Primates; Hominidae
Description: HSALNT0018577
Source: RNAcentral
CUUUUACCAAAGGCCUCAUCACCUUUACGGAAACGUCAUCCUCUAGUCUCAGUACCACUCUGGCUGGUCGGAUACUUACUUUUCAAAAUACAGCUUGAGUCAUUGUCCUGAAUCCUUCCUACCCUCCAGUCUCAAAGCACAUGUAUCUCUUGUUCCAUGAUCCAAAAGAAGGAGAAGGGGCUUAAGUGUGAUGCAAGUCUGGGUUCACAUCUUGACCUGCUGCUUACUGAGUGGGUGACUUAGAGCAAGUCACUUAUCCUCUCUGAGCCCCAGAAUAUAUAUUUUUAUAUAUAUGGUAUAGUAUAGUACAGUAUAUAUAGUCACCAAGGCUCAGAAAUUGAUAUAUAUAUAUUUAGUAUUUUUUAAUUUCUAAAAUAGUGAUGAUAAUUCCUACUUUUCAGGAUUGUUGUAUAUAUUAUAUAAUAUAGUUAGUGUAUACAAUUUGCACAACAAAGAUGCAUAAUAUAUUUUAGCUAUUAUUAUUAUUAGCUGUAGUGGCAGAGACAGCCCCUGCCUCUCCUUGCAUGUAGGUGUGUACAUAUAACAUGGAGACAGUGGAAUGUAAGAGCUGUGUGUCACUCCUGGGGUAAAGAUUUUAGAAAAGGACAGGACUUCCCUACUGUCUCUUUCCAUUUCUGUUGGCUGGAAGCAGAAAACAAAGAGCCCCUAGGAAAUGGUGAAGCCACAAGAUCUAUGGAGCCUGGAGUCCUUAAAUUACUACCUGGGAGACAGCUACCUGUCACCCAGGAACACCUGCAAUGGGCUGUUUUAUAAGGAAGAAACAAACUUAUUUUGGGUUAGGUCCCUAAAAUUCUGGGUUUUGUUUAUUAUAGCUGUUAGUGUUAAUUGUCCUGGUAAAUUUAGAAAUUGGCACUUUGAAGUGGAGGUUAAUGUAAGAAAAACCUAAGAUAUGUUGCAUCGACUCAGCAGUUGGAUGGUGGGUGGCACAGACACUGAUAUCAAAGGCUGGGAAGAUGGAGACCUGUGGAAGAGAUGGCAGAGCAUUUGGUAAAUCUGUUGCUGGUGAUUAUUUAAAAGGCAUGCCCAGUGCCUGACAAGUCUUUAUCUCCAGGGGAGAGGCUGGCUAUUACUUAUUGUAUUCAGCAAGGUAUAACCAGACAGAUGUGCUCUGCUAAGAACUCGUUUGCAUGAGUGCAGAAAUUAAACAGUCUAGACAGAGUCCAGAAAUCUGAUGUUUCACAGGAUUGGAAAAGCAUUAUUGUUCUCAACCCAUAGAAGGUAUCACUGAAAAAGGCUUUGAGCAACAUAGGUCCAUUUAAAAAAUCUCAAUUUAAUAGAUACCAUGCUAGCAUCUACAGACUAGGAAAUAAGUAGGGACUGUUCUCUGCCUUCAAGGAGUUUAUAACUUAGUAGAAAAGAGAAAAAUGUGUACAAAUAACUGCAGUGGAAGACAGUUAAUGAUUGAAACAUACAUUGCUAUAAAUAAUGCAAGAAUCACAGCAUUCUAGGGUAGCCCAGAAUAGGGGCUCUCAAAAGGACUGGGGAGCUUGGACCUUGGUUUCUCAUCAAACCCUGAAACCCAUGAAUGAAUGAAUAAACCUCAAUUGUUUCCCAAACUCAUUUUCAUCUUCCUGAAACACUAGAGUUCAAAUUUGGUCUCUGGGGUAGUAGCUGAUCCUCUGGGCAUUGAGGAGCUCCCUCAGGCCAGCCCAUGACUUUCCUAUCAGUGUUCUUCUCUGCCUUUACAAGUAGUUCAGACUGAGACUUGUAUGGGUUCCCUACUGAGGGCCUCAUUUCUGUAACAGAAGAGGGCUCUGACAUCCUUAUUUUUCUUCAACUGCCCUGAGAUGAUGAGAUGCCCCAGACCUGAAAGCACCGUUGUGUUUGCUGAGACUGCUUGUUUUUAUUGUCUCUUGUGUUUUAAAUAGUCAUUCUUUGGGCAAAGAAUGAGAACUUGCAGCUCCUUAUUGUUUCCUGGCAUGAACCUAGUACCUUUUUAACUUGCUUUUAUUGCCUCUUUGGCUGUGUGGAGCAUUUAUCUAAAUAUAGACUGGUACAACACUAUGAACAGGACUGGAAUAAGAUAAAAUUUUCUUUCCGAUCAAUUCUGUUACAUCUUCUUGUGAACACUAGGUACUGUUCUUUUCUCAGAGUGGCAAGAGUAGGCAGCAAAAAGAGAUGAUAUUGAGUUGCAAAGCUUUUCUAAGUGGAAGUCAAUCACUGCCAGGCCUUUUAAAGUCACGAGGCCCAGGUACUGAGUGCUCUGGACACUGGAUCUGCCUAUGGCCUUAGGCAAACCACAUAAUCAUGGUCAGCAACAUACACUGCCCCUUGGAGGCAGGGUGGUGGAGUGGAAGGGGCACAGGCUUUGACAGAACCCAAUUGGAUCUAAUGCCCUGCCACUUAUUUUGGGGUGACCUUGGGUAAGUUCCUUAUUCUCAUUUCUAAAAGGGGGCAAUACUAAUAAAAUCUAUCUCUUAGGGCUCUUGUGAGGAUUAAAUGUGAUGAAUAUAUGUAACUUACUCAGCACAUUUUCAAGAAAUAGCAGCUAUUAUUUUUUUGUAGGUAGGUACUUUGUGGCAUUAAUAUAUCAAAUGCAACCAUAUCUUUAAUUUUAUUUCCAGGAGGAAUAAUCCAUAUAUAUUUAUUAAAGAUAUUAACAAAAAGCAGCUCUCACCUUCUUGUGAAUCAGAUCCAAAUCCCUUAACGUCUUCAUUGAUUCAGGUGAGAGGAUUUCAUUACUGCAGGAGUGCACUAUAGUAAUUAGAGCAGAGUCUCUGGUCUCAGGGUUCAAAACUUGGUAUGUGAUAUUGAGCCAAUUGCUUAAGUUCACUGGGCCACAAUCCUUGAUCUGCGACUUCAAAUUGAAACUAUUUAUAGGCUUUACUUGCUUAAUAUAAAUCUUUCUAUUUUGGGUGCAGAAAUAUUGGGUUUGAUUCUAAGGGACCACCCCAGACCUUGGUGGGUGUUCUGUAAUAUCUGUCAUAUGCACCCUGUUGCCUUUAUUAAUUCUGCAUUCUGAGUUGCAAAACUCAUCUGGUUUCCAGAGAUUUGGGGAUCUAUGAUAUACCCUCAUAGGGUCGCUGAGCUAUAGUCACUUCAUGCCCCCCCUCCGAAUCUUAUUAGCUAUUAUUAUCAUCUUGGAAUGGUUUUUUGAUGUGGCGGUUAUUCUCCCAUUUUACAUAUGAGGAAAAUAAGACCCAGAAAAGUUAAAUCACCACAUAGCUCAUAUGUGAUAUGGUCAGAAUACAAGCAAGGCAUUUCUGACAUCAGAUCCCAUGCAUUCUGUUGAAUUCAUUCUGUUGAAUUCCCAGGACCCUGUACAUGCCCUGGCAGGGCCAGCCUCAAUUAAGAUUCCACCUGGAGAGAUUAGAGUCUACAGUUAAGAAAACACAAUCAACUGGGACUGUCCUCUUCAGGCAUCUCACAAGCAGACCAGUUCUGGUGUGGGCUCCUCACCCUCCUUUAGCGGCUGUGCAGAGGAUGGAAGGGUGGGUCCCGGAAGGCUCCCACAGGGUCUGCCAACCACAUGGCUUGAGAAGGGAGCUGGCCUGCACACCGUCCUUUGCUGAUUUCUCCUAAGGGAUGUGAGCAGAGCAUUGACAGGGUCUGUGAUACACCCUUUAGCAUAAUUCUGUGCCAUAGCAGGAACAGUCUAUUUUGUGAAAAGCUCAGGAUGAAGGCUGUCUCUCUCACUACUGUUUUGAUGUUCACUGACAAACCCACCUACCAUCAAAUGAUUCCCACCACACUGCCUGCCAUGGUGCCUGAAAUUUGUGCUAUAAGCCAUCAGUCUCCAGAGACUACCAAUAAAAUGUCUGGACAGUAGGGUAGGGGAUGAGGGAAGGAUAAGAGGUGGGUCACCAUCACUGAAGAGUCUGGGUGAACUGGGGUACUAGCUCCCAGGCUGGAGGUGGCCUCUGACAGACAUGGCCUCUGAGGAGUGUAGCACCAAACACGGACCCAAAAGCACCCCUCAGAAAAGGAAAGGGAUGAAGGGGUCAUUUGCCUGUUUUACACAUUUAUCCAGAUCAGGACCUGGAAGGGAAGACCUCCUUCACUGUUGCUGAGACUGCGAGCUCUUGGAAGACGGUGACUGUCUUUUUGUCUCUCUCUCUCCCCAGAACUCAGCAGAGUAACCCAUGACUUGUUUGACUGAACAGAGUGCCCAUGGGUUCAGUGCUCUGCUCUAGUCUCCACCUGCCAGUUUCCUUCUGACACUGCUAUGAGCAACCCCCAUAUUUAUGCAGAUGAGUGCUCCAUAACUCCACUUCUCUUCAAUAAGAAGAAAGAGCAACACCGCUAACAACUUAUUGUUGGUGGUGAGACUUUGGGCAAAUUAAUGAGCUCUCUGUUUAUUCAUUGAUAAAAUGUAGAGAAUGCCCCUGGCUUCCCACACUUGUGGUGAGGACUCAGUAAGGUUCUUGUGGACUGAUUGUGUCCCUCUCUAAAUUCCCCAAUUCACACACUGAAGCUCUAAUCUCCAGUGUGAUUGUUUUUGGAGUUAGGCCCUAUAUGGAGGUAAUCAAAUUAACAGAGGUCAUGAGAGUGGGGCCUUAAUCCAACAGGACUAAUAUUCUUAUAAAAUGGGGAAGAAACAGGAUACCAGAGAUCUCUAUCUCUCUCCCCCUUCUCUCUCUCUCUCUCUCUCUCUCUCUCUCUCUCUCUGUGUCUCUCUCUCUUUCCCAGUUGUACACAGAAGAAAGCCCAUAUGAGGACACAGCAAGAAGGUGGCUGUCUUCAAGCCAAGAAGAGAGGCCUCAUCAGAGAUGGAAUGUUCCUGCACUUCGGUCUGGAUUUCUAGUGUCCAGAACUGUGAGAAAAUAAAUUUCUGUUGUUUAA